GCCGCGUUGGCACAGUGGUUAGCGCAUCUCACUUGUAUGAGCAAUGAGAAGGUCACUCGUUCAACUCGGGUACGUGGCA
This is a non-coding RNA of Phlegmacium glaucopus, 79 nucleotides long. The record is from the annotation of a GenBank genome assembly. NCBI's taxonomy places the organism in Eukaryota, Fungi, Basidiomycota, Agaricomycetes, Agaricales, Cortinariaceae.